AGUGCAGUCGAGCGACAGAAAGGAGCUUGCUCCUUGUGACGUUAGCGGCGGACGGGUGAGUAACACGUGGGCAACCUACCCUAUAGUUUGGGAUAACUCCGGGAAACCGGGGCUAAUACCGAAUAAUCUCUUUUACUUCGUGGUGAAAGACUGAAAGACGGCAUCUCGCUGUCGCUAUAGGAUGGGCCCGCGGCGCAUUAACUAGUUGGUGAGGUAACGGCUCACCAAGGCGACGAUGCGUAGCCGACCUGAGAGGGUGAUCGGCCACGCUGGGACUGAGACACGGCCCAUACUCCUACGGGAGGCAGCAGUAAGGAAUCUUCCACGAUGGACGAAAGCCUGAUGGAGCAACGCCGCGUGAGUGAAGAAUGUUUUCGGAUCGUAAAACUCUGUUGUAAGGGAAGAACAGGUACAGUAAUAACUGGCUGUACCUUGACGGUACCUUAUUAAAAAGCCACGGCUAACUACGUGCCAGCAGCCGCGGUAAUACGUAGGUGGCAAGCGUUGUCCGGAAUUAUUGGGCGUAAAGCGCGCGCAGGCGGUCCUUUAAGUCUGAUGUGAAAGCCCACGGCUCAACCGUGGAGGGUCAUUGAAAACUGGAGGACUUGAGUGCAGAAGAGGAAAGUGGAAUUCCAAGUGUAGCGGUGAAAUGCGUAGAGAUUUGGAGCAACACCAGUGGCGAAGGCGACUUUCUGGUCUGUAGCUGACGCUGAGGCGCGAAAGGCGUGGGGGAAGCAAACAGGAUUAGAAUAUACCCGUGGUUAUGUCCACGCCGUAAGACGAUGGAGUGCUAAGUGAUGAGGGGGGUCUUCCGCCCUCUUAGCUGCUGCAGCUAACGCAUUAAGUCACUGCCGCCUGGAGGAGUAGCGGUCGCCAAGUACUGAUACUCAGAGGAGUCGACGGGCGCCCCGCACAGCGGUGGGAGGCAUGUGGUUUAAUUCGAAGCAACGCGAAGAACCUUACCAGGUCUUGACAUCCCGUUGACCACUGUAGAAGAUAUAGUUUCCCUUCGGGGGCAACGGUGACAGGUGGUGCAUGGUUGUCGUCAGCUCGUGUCGUGAGAUGUUGGGUUAAGUCCCGCAACGAGCGCAACCCUUGAUCUUAGUUGCCAUCAUUUAGUUGGGCACUCUAAGGUGACUGCCGGUGACAAACCGGAGGAAGGUGGGGAUGACGUCAAAUCAUCAUGCCCCUUAUGACCUGGGCUACACACGUGCUACAAUGGACGAUACAAACGGUUGCCAACUCGCGAGAGGGAGCUAAUCCGAUAAAGUCGUUCUCAGUUCGGAUUGUAGGCUGCAACUCGCUUACAUGAAGCCGGAAUCGCUAGUAAUCGCGGAUCAGCAUGCCGCGGUGAAUACGUUCCCGGGCCUUGUACACACCGCCCGUCACACCACGAGAGUUUGUACCACCCGAAGUCGGUGAGGUAACCUCUGGA
This 1435-nucleotide ribosomal RNA is filed under the name Lysinibacillus sp. RNAcentral describes it as "bacterial SSU rRNA". It matches the Rfam family "Bacterial small subunit ribosomal RNA". Lineage: Bacteria; Bacillati; Bacillota; Bacilli; Caryophanales; Bacillaceae. The record is from RNAcentral.